AGGGGAGAUGCCUCCCCCCACCCCUAGUUAGUGUAGGCUGUUCCCGGAAGGGCAUCCUGCCUCUCCUCUGUUUCCAGCAGGCACCCACUGCAGUCAGGAGCCCAACUGGGUCCAGCCUCUACAGCCAUGGAUCCGAUCUGGUCUGGUUGAUGCCCUGCCUCGUGUUUAAUGCUCUCCUUGUCUCCUCUUUCUUCUUCGUUGUGGUUUUCCGUCCGCUGGGCAGGAUCAUGCCGGACCAGAUCACUGUGCCGGAGUUUAUUGCUGAGACGACAGAAGAUUACAAUUCCCCAACUACGUCCAGUUUUACCACCCGGCUACAGAACUGCAGGAACACAGUCACGCUGCUAGAAGAGGCCUUAGAUCAGGACAGAACUGCACUACAAAAAGUGAAAAAAUCUGUAAAAGCAAUAUAUAAUUCUGGGCAGGAACAUGUCCAAAAUGAAGAAAGCUAUGCACAAGUGCUAGAUAAAUUUGGAAGUAAUUUCUUAAGUAGAGAUAAUCCAGAUUUGGGCACUGCUUUUGUAAAAUUUUCCACGCUGACUAAGGAAUUAUCAACACUGCUUAAAAAUCUGCUUCAAGGGUUGAGCCAUAAUGUUAUCUUCACCCUGGAUUCCCUCUUGAAAGGCGAUUUGAAAGGAAUUAAAGGGGAUCUCAAAAAGCCCUUUGAUAAAGCCUGGAAAGAUUAUGAGACCAAAUUCACAAAAAUUGAAAAGGAAAAAAGGGAACAUGCAAAACAACAUGGGAUGAUACGAACAGAGAUUACUGGAGCUGAGAUAGCAGAAGAAAUGGAGAAAGAGAGAAGGCUGUUUCAGCUCCAGAUGUGUGAAUAUCUCAUUAAGGUUAAUGAAAUCAAGACAAAAAAGGGUGUGGACCUUUUACAGAAUCUUAUUAAGUAUUAUCAUGCACAAUGCAAUUUCUUUCAAGAUGGCUUGAAGACAGCUGAUAAACUGAAACAGUACAUUGAAAAACUAGCUGCUGAUUUAUAUAAUAUAAAACAGACACAAGAUGAAGAAAAGAAACAACUCACUGCACUGAGGGAUUUGAUAAAGUCCUCAUUACAGCUUGACCAAAAGGAGGAUUCACAGAGCAGGCAAGGAGGAUACAGCAUGCAUCAGCUUCAGGGUAAUAAAGAAUAUGGCAGUGAGAAAAAGGGUUAUCUUUUAAAGAAGAGUGAUGGCUUGCGGAAAGUUUGGCAGAGGAGGAAAUGCACAGUUAAAAAUGGCAUUCUGACCAUAUCGCAUGCAACUUCAAACAGGCAGCCUGCUAAAUUAAAUCUGCUCACGUGCCAGGUGAAGCCAAAUGCUGAAGACAAGAAGUCAUUUGACUUGAUAUCACAUAACAGAACAUACCACUUUCAGGCAGAGGAUGAGCAAGACUAUGUUGCGUGGAUAUCAGUAUUGACCAACAGCAAAGAAGAAGCUUUAAAUAUGGCCUUUCGCGGAGAACAGAGCACAGGGGAGAACAGCCUAGAGGAUCUUACUAAAGCCAUAAUUGAUGACAUUCAGAGAUUGGCUGGAAAUGAUGUCUGUUGUGACUGUGGAUCACCAGAUCCAACAUGGCUUUCAACUAACCUGGGUAUUUUAACCUGUAUAGAGUGUUCCGGAAUACACAGAGAAAUGGGUGUUCAUAUUUCUCGAAUCCAGUCUUUAGAAUUGGACAAAUUAGGAACAUCUGAACUCUUGCUGGCCAAGAACAUAGGAAAUAAUAGUUUUAAUGAAAUUAUGGAGGGAAACUUACCAAGCCCCUCUCCAAAACCUACUCCAUCAAGUGAUAUGACUGCACGUAAAGAGUUUAUCACUGCUAAAUAUGUAGACCAUAAGUUCUCCAGAAAGACCUGUGCAUCUGCAGCAGCUAAACUGAAUGAACUGCUAGAGGCUGUCAGAUCCAGGGAUUUACUUGCACUAAUCCAAGUCUAUGCAGAAGGAGUUGAACUAAUGGAGCCACUGUUAGAGCCUGGACAGGAGCCAGGUGAAACUGCUCUUCAUUUAGCAGUCCGGACUGCUGAUCACACCUCACUCCAUCUGGUUGACUUCCUUGUACAAAACUGUGGAAACCUGGAUAAGCAAACAGUGUUGGGGAAUACAGUUCUACACUAUUGCAGUAUAUAUAACAAGCCAGAAUGUUUGAAGUUGGUCUUGAAGGGCAAGCCAACUUUACAUACAGCAAAUCAAACUGGGGAGACUGCCCUGGACACGGCAAAGAGACUGAAAGCUAUCCAAUGUGAAGACCUGCUUUCUCAGGCCAAAGCCGGAAAACUAAAUCCACAUGUGCACAUUGAAUAUGAGUGGAAUCUUCGGCAGGAAGAAAUGGACGAAAGCGAUGACGACCUGGAUGACAAGCCUAGUCCAAUAAAGAAAGAGCGUUCUCCAAGACCCCAGAGCUUUUGUCACUCUUCCAGUAUUUCUCCCCAAGACAAAAUGGCUCUUCCUGGUCUUAGCACUCCACGGGACAAACAAAGACUUUCCUAUGGCGCCUUCCCGCACCAGAUCUUCGUCUCUGCGAGCGUAGACUCUGCAACUUCUCCAACAGUGGUAGAUGGCCCUCCGCUUCCUCCACGAAACGCUGGAAAAGGUCCAUCGGGCCCUCCUUCAACCCUCCCAUUAAGCACUCCAGCCUCUAGUGGCAGCUCCACUCUGUCUAAGAAGAGGCCCCCACCCCCUCCCCCGGGACACAAAAGAACCCUAUCAGACCCACCCAGCCCACUACCUCAUGGGCCCCAGAAUAAGGGCCAAGUGUCUUGGGGUAAUGAUUUGGGUCCACCAGCCACAAAAACAGCAAACAAGUUUGAGGGGAUGUCUCAACAAUCAGGCACCGGGACUGCUAAGACGGCCCUGGGCCCCAGAGUGCUUCCGAAACUACCUCAGAAAGUGGCAUUAAGAAAAAUAGAAACAAUCCAUCUUCCCUCACUAGAUAAAUCCAGUCACCAUUCUGAAAUCUUUCAGAAGUCAGCCUCUCUCUGUAUUGACCUGCCCCAGAAGCCCCAACCUGCAGAUUUACCCCCCAAGCCGCAAUUGGGGGAUCUCCCUCCAAAACCACAACUUGCAGACUUACCUCCAAAACCCCAAAUGAAGGAUCUUCCUCCGAAGCCACAACUAGGAGAAACUUUGGCAAAAACUCCUGGUGGGGACGCAUCCCCCAGACCUCAGCCCUCAGAGGCCAAUCAGAAAUCACCCAGUGUGGAUCUUUCCCCAAAGAUACAGUCAAAAGAGAUUGUCCAGAAACAAGCAUCUGAAGAUUCUGGAGAUACCACCCCUGGAUCAGCUGAAACCCCUGUGCCACUUCCUAGAAAAAUAAACAUGGGGAAGAAUAAAAUUAGGAGGGUGAAGACAAUCUAUGAUUGCCAAGCAGAUAAUGAUGAUGAGCUUACAUUUGUUGAAGGUGAAAUUAUUAUUGUAACAGGAGAGGAGGAUCAAGAGUGGUGGAUUGGCCACAUUGAAGGGAAGCCGGAACGGAAGGGGGUUUUCCCAGUAUCCUUCGUCCACAUUUUGUCAGACUAAUCAGAAACUCGAGUAUUGCACAUUGUUCCUGCAAGUCGGGCUUUAAGCACGAAGCCAACAGCUGCUGCUGCUGCAUUCCUGUAAUUCUGUGCAUAGUUGUUGAUAUGGAUGUAUAUAUGACUGCUGUUAACAAAGCAAGAACUCGUUCCUCCCCAUACAAGGGGCUCAUAUUGUAUUGUAAAUAGAAGGUGUUUCUUUGCCAUUGCCAGUAUUAUGGUCAUUGUGGGAGCUGGCAUGCCUUACUGGGUUGCUCAGGCCAUUCGUGGCAUCAAGCACUUAAAUUUUUGUCUGUGUGUAUGAACUGCCAGCUUUCUGAAUAAACUGUUAGUCCCAUCCAGUCCCUUUCCGCUGUACAGAAUUUACCGUUCCUAAUACAUCAGUAUUCUUGACGUAGAUAACUAGCAGAGUUACUCCUGGGUUUUCGAAAGGAGCUGCUGACGGCCGUGGAUGACUUCCACCGUGCGCAGUUUACAGCUUGUGAAAUCCACUCCCUUGGUAUUGUUUAAAAAAAAAAAUGUGUCCGGUGUAUCCAUCCAUCCAACACAAGAAAUAUGCACUGAUGCUACAGGUAACCAGUACUAAUUUUAUGGUCUGUGGGCCACAUUUCCUGUUCGUAUUCCUGUAACUGCAGUUUCUUCCUGUGCUCUUUACCUCACUUGACUCCAUCUGAACGUCUUCAAUAAAAAUGAUUCAGUCUCGCAAAGAAAAAUAUAUGAGACUUCUGGCUGGAGGUUUUAUUGUAGUGAACCAGGGUCUCAUUAUAAAGUACAUUCCUACUUGCAUGGCUUUGCUUUCCUCCUUACAGUCUCCGUUUAUGCAAGAGCAUUACCAGCAUCGCUUGCCUUUCACUUUCAAAGCGUGCAGCUUUGUGGUAAUCUGUUUACCACCCAGAUUGAAAUACCAGCUGAUAGGAGUAUUCGUUUGCUAACUAAAGGGUUCAUUAAGGUGUUGGGGGAUUCCAACCUUCAUUCCAGGGAAGCCGUAUUAAGUUGCAAUGUUCCUCUUGCAUUACUGCCUGGAGAAAUCAAAAUCGUUAGCAAAACAAUUGAACAAUACCUUUCCUGAAAAAUAGCAGCCGUCAGAGAAGCCACAGGAACAUCUGGAAGUUUGCCUUUCUGAAUUGAACAGUGCCAAGGAUCUGGCAGCCGCGGAAUUAAUAAUUUAGGAAGGACACGUUUGGACCUGAGAUUAUUAGACUGCUAAAAUUUCAUGACGGCAGCUUCAACUCAUUUUUUCAAAUCAAUGUAGCAAGGACAUACUCAUUUCGGAUACACAUUUAUUGGUUAGGACUGUGCGUGCUCCCGACACUAUUUGGAAGAAGGGCUUCAGAUUUUGCGCAAUUGCCACACCUCUCUGCUGCUCAGUCAGGUUGUCUCCCUUUCUCAGAUUUCUGCAAGUCCCUGAAAAAAAGUGCCAUUGCUUUCACACUAAGGAACUGAAUCCUUAAAGCGGCAGUACCUUUGUUUUUUAACAGACUUGCAGAGAAGCCUGCGAAAGACAGGAUGAUAAACAGCUGAGAUUUGCUGGGCCAAACCACUUCUUCCUAAUCAUAUUCAAAAUAGAUAAGCCCUUUUGGGGGGAGAAGGAUGGGGGCUAGUGUUUUGCUAUGCAUUUUGUAAUUUUAUUGGGCAGAUAUCGGUUGAGAAAUACUGGGUUAAAAAAGUUACUUUGCCAAUAGCCCAAGUUUCAUUUCCUGUAGAGCGGUCCGUUGAAAUUCCAUCCCACAACGAUUCGUUUCACCCAAAGUUGCAAUUAAUCUGUUGCUUUUGCUGUGGAUGUUUUACAAAACUCAGUGCUUAUUUUUAAGUGGUUAACGUGCAAAACGUAAUCAGUUUAAGAACUCUUGCAUGAAGGAAAGCGAAGUAUUUAUCAGCUCUGAUUGGAAGGUGGUUUUCAAACAAUUGUUUCGGCCGGGUCACGGCACAUUUUGUUGAAAGGUUUAAGCGUACAAACGAACAAGCGAGCCUGCUGCCAACGUCAGUGUUUUCAGACUUAUGCUGUUUAUAUAAAAGCUAGAACAAAACUGACUUAGCAUUCCAUAUUGCUUGUUGAUGAAACGUCCUUCCGGUUAAUGGAGAAAACUCAUCUACUUUGUCAAGCGUAUUUUAAAACAAACUCAAAGUCCACUGGUUUUCAAAAAAGAUAAAAGUGAACAUAGAAAGAUGUGUAAAAUGAUGUAGAGUCAAAUGUCUAUUAUUUUGUAAGCUUUUUGAAGUAGCAUAUAAAUUUUUUAAAUAAAAUGAGUUCCAUCCGGAACAAGAGCUAUUUGAUUUAGAGUCCAUAGGAUAAUUAAGAUGCAAUGUAUGAUACAUAGGUUGAGUUUAAAUACAAGGUUCUAUUUAAACUCGGAGUCACUAUCUGCAAUUUUGUACGUUUCAUGAUCUAUUUGGAAAGCCUGCUUGUUUGGGGUUUUCCCCCCAGGGAGGGAAGUACCUUCUGGAAAUGAUGUGUUCUCUUACUGUUGAACAGCGAUCGCUAUUUAUUUUUUUAUGACAUACUGCAACCACAUGUAAAAGAAAACAGACCUUAUAGUACCAGUUGAUACUGAAACCCCCUUUGAAUGUUACAAUCGUACAUCCGUACAUUGGUUUCCUUACGUGUUUAAUGUGACCGUUUGAGUACUGUGUGUGUUAAUUUCUACUUUUUUAAUAUUUAAAAUUGCUUUUAAAUAAAUGUAUUCAGUUGA
RNA transcript from Candoia aspera, 6183 nucleotides. It is a transcript of the gene named ArfGAP with SH3 domain, ankyrin repeat and PH domain 1, with no coding region annotated. The record is from RefSeq and is a predicted model, not a curated record. Lineage: Eukaryota; Metazoa; Chordata; Lepidosauria; Squamata; Candoiidae. The transcript has 29 exons.